This 492-nucleotide ribosomal RNA is filed under the name uncultured bacterium. RNAcentral describes it as "partial 16S ribosomal RNA". It matches the Rfam family "Bacterial small subunit ribosomal RNA", at positions 29 to 507 of the family's 1533-position model. The record is from RNAcentral.
AGUGAGCGCUGGCGGUAGGCCUAGCACAUGCAAGUCGAACGGCAGCACAGUAAGAACUUGCUCUUACGGGUGGCGAGUGGCGGACGGGUGAGGAAUACAUCGGAAUCUACUUUUUCGUGGGGGAUAACGUAGGGAAACUUACGCUAAUACCGCAUACGACCUACGGGUGAAAGCAGGGGAUCUUCGGACCUUGCGCGAUUGAAUGAGCCGAUGUCGGAUUAGCUAGUUGGCGGGGUAAAGGCCCACCAAGGCGACGAUCCGUAGCUGGUCUGAGAGGAUGAUCAGCCACACUGGAACUGAGACACGGUCCAGACUCCUACGGGAGGCAGCAGUGGGGAAUAUUGGACAAUGGGCGCAAGCCUGAUCCAGCCAUACCGCGUGGGUGAAGAAGGCCUUCGGGUUGUAAAGCCCUUUUGUUGGGAAAGAGAAGCAGCAGGUUAAUACCCCGCUGUUCUGACGGUACCCAAAGAAUAAGCACCGGCUAACUUCGUG